UUAGCAAAUGGACUAAUAUAGAGACUCAGUCACUUUGCUUUGCUCUUCUGUGUAUUUCAUUAGGAAAGCUUAAAGACAGACAAAACAACCCACAAACCAACACAUACUUUUAGCUUGCAAUUUAUCAAGAAUAAGUGCUCCUUUUGCUGUGAGAGCAAUUUGGUUCUGUAAAAUGUAUAGCUACCGUACCUAUUUUGAUGUUUUGUAACAAGUAACACACGGUAGAUGUUACUAAAGAUGCUUUGAGCUGCUCUGAUUCCUUGCUUCCCAAGGAAUAAAAUGAGUGAAAACAAUCUCUUUUGAUUUUACAGUUCCUGUUCUGGGAAAUGCCAAGGGAGAAACCCUCGCUGUUGAGUUGCCUUCACACCUGACAGGCCUCCGGUUAGAGCUGCUUCACAAGGCUCUUUCAGUGCAUGCCUCGUGGGUUAAUUACUUGAGCUCUCACAGAAGGAAUCCUGGCUUCUGCUGUAGCAGCUUGUCGCAAGACAUGGUAAGAAAUCGCACAUGAUUUUGAGGCUUGUAGCCUGUGAAUGUGUGUCACCCUGGAAACCGUUUGCACCUGCAAGCAUGAGUCAUAAGAGCUGAGGAAUUGCGGGGACUGUGGAGGAAUGUUUGGAUCCCCGUCUUUCCAGAAUGGACAACUCCUUCCUACAGGAAUGCAGAGUCAGCCUGCUUUGAGGUAUCGCCUGUGGUGAGUGAUUUCCAGGAACACUGACUCAGUGGAGUCACGGAACAAUAAUGAAGGUUAGCUAUCCAAAGCAAACACCCUGGAUUAUUUCUUUAUUGCUGGGGAAACCUUGUAACAAUCUGAAACACCAGUAUUUUCAGAACAAAUAAGAAGUACAACCUUAUAUGCAGACGUGAAGUCUUGCAUAUUCCUGUGACAUUAUUCUUGCUGCAAUAUGCCAUGCUCUGUUCUGAAUCCCUGAGACUGAAGAACAACGCUUGCUCACCCGCUCUCAGCUGUUUGGACAUGGUCUUGUGUGGGCGGCUGCCAAGCCUUGCGGAUUGUGACAAUGCAGAGUGCACUGUAAGAUGCCCCUUCCAUUAAAUAAUGCUGAAAGAACACAAGUUAUUCAAUGGAUGAGAAUUAAGCUUUUUAUUCCUCUCUGAUUUUUAAUGAUGUAACUGUUGUGUAUUGACUACUAUAAGCAUGUGCAGGACUCUGCAGAUGAAUGCAGUUGGAGAAGAAGUCAUGGUAAAACUUACAGAAGGGUUUCAUGGUAGCUUCUGAAGAAAGAAAAAUGACCUGAACUGAAGAGAUUAAUUCCUACUGUAUUUUCUACUGCCACUGCCAUUUCUGGAAGCUGAUACUUAGAAUAUGUUGAAAAAGAGAGUUCCUAACAGAAGGAUAAAAUAUGUUUUGUAUCUCCCAGGGAUGUAUACACACCCACUGUCAGGUCUUUGACUUCUCCACUUCUGAGAAGCAAAAUACAUGGUAACCAACCAUUUUAGUGGGUGGCUACAUCUGCAAAUGAUACAAAUUAAUGAAGUUUCCAUUCCUUCCCCAAGGAAAGCUUGAUUUAUGGUUCCAUUAAAUUUCUAACUCACUGAAGAAAGUACUACCUGGUGGGAUAAUUGGCACGGAUUUCUUUCUCUAGGGAGUACUGAAAAAACAACACAG
Long non-coding RNA from Oxyura jamaicensis (ruddy duck), 1624 nucleotides. RefSeq lists it as uncharacterized. The transcript is spliced from 9 exons. NCBI's taxonomy places the organism in Eukaryota, Metazoa, Chordata, Aves, Anseriformes, Anatidae. The record is from RefSeq and is a predicted model, not a curated record.